RNAcentral lists this ribosomal RNA (373 nucleotides) under uncultured organism. RNAcentral describes it as "partial 16S ribosomal RNA". It matches the Rfam family "Bacterial small subunit ribosomal RNA", at positions 527 to 896 of the family's 1533-position model. The record is from RNAcentral.
GUAGGUGGCAAGCGUUGUCCGGAAUUAUUGGGCGUAAAGCGCGCGCAGGCGGUCCUUUAAGUCUGAUGUGAAAGCCCACGGCUCAACCGUGGAGGGUCAUUGGAAACUGGGGGACUUGAGUACAGAAGAGGAAAGCGGAAUUCCAAGUGUAGCGGUGAAAUGCGUAGAGAUUUGGAGGAACACCAGUGGCGAAGGCGGCUUUCUGGUCUGUAACUGACGCUGAGGCGCAAAAGCGUGGGGAGCAAACAGGGAUUAGAUACCCUGGUAGUCCACGCCGUAAACGAUGAGUGCUAAGUGUUAGGGGGGUUUCCGCCCCCUUAGUGCUGCAGCUAACGCAUUAAGCACUCCGCCUGGGGAUACGGCCGCAAGGCUG